GAGUCGCUUCAGCACUCUGCAGCUGGGUGCAGUGCCUCGCGUGUGAAAGGGCCCUUAUUAGCUGGAUAUAUUGCCUCACAGGAGUGUAUGAGUUUAUGGACAAUGCUGUUACACACGCGUGGAGAUCACAACGCAGUAUAGCCGGAGGACGUGCACGGGCAGAUUAUCACCAUCUUUCUAACUUUGAGAAAGGUCCAAUCAUCAGCAUGAGGGACAUGGAAACAUCACACAGAUAUGAGCUCAGGACGACACAGCGAUAAGAAGAGUAGCUGUUGCCCUGUUGGUACUUGCUGCAAAGGAUUACGAGGAAACAGAUGCUGAGGAUAAUGAAGAGGAUACAAAUGUCGGUGACGAAGAAGAUGAAGAAGGAAAUGAAGAACAAGAAGGCCUAUAAAACUUUCC
Molecule: long non-coding RNA, 402 nt
Organism: Schistocerca serialis cubense
Lineage: Eukaryota; Metazoa; Arthropoda; Insecta; Orthoptera; Acrididae
Exons: 3
Source: RefSeq, a predicted model, not a curated record